This is a long non-coding RNA of Leopardus geoffroyi (Geoffroy's cat), 644 nucleotides long. RefSeq lists it as uncharacterized. NCBI's taxonomy places the organism in Eukaryota, Metazoa, Chordata, Mammalia, Carnivora, Felidae. The record is from RefSeq and is a predicted model, not a curated record. The transcript is spliced from 4 exons.
UAAACGGCUGGCAACCUGCUGGUGCGCCUGCUCUUUGUCGGACUGCUCCAAGGCGGCUGUUCUUAGCUGCAGAACAGCUUGAGGAAGUUGAGGUUGCUUUUCCAGCUUUUAGGAAAUUGAGGCUGCUAGAGAUCUGGCGGCUGGUCUACUUGGACAACCAGAGGAAGGACUCAGCGAAUAUGAGUCUUUAAUGCCCGUAUCAAACACCUAUAAAUCUCCCUUUUAACUAAGAGGAAGUUCUCCAGACUCAACAGAGACUGAUCAAAAAGUGAAGACUAACUCCAAGAUCUGGAGUAAUACUAGAGAGACCAUGGAAAGGAUAUACCGACUGCCCAGCCCAAGGAAUGAAUUAAUCUCACACUAAGACUUAGCAUUGUGAACAAUCAAAACUCCAGUGCUUCAGAGAAGAUUACAAAGUUUCAAAAAGAGAAAAAUCAGAGUAGCAUUAGAUGUCUCAUCAGCAACUCAACUUCAGCAGCUAGAAAGGUCAAAGUUCAGAGGGCAAAUAAGUUUCAGGAAUCGAUUCCAAGAAUAUGAUAAAAACACGAACACGGGCAUUGCAGCAUUAUUUGCAACAGCAAAGAUCGAAAACAACUCAAACAUCCACCAACUGGGAACUGGAAGAAUAAGUUGUACUGUACCCA